GGUCCUGUAACUCAGUUGGUAGAGUGCCACCCUUACAAGGUGGAGGUCACUGGUUCGAGCCCAGUCGGGACCACCA
RNAcentral lists this transfer RNA (76 nucleotides) under Deltaproteobacteria bacterium. RNAcentral's name for it is "tRNA-Val". It matches the Rfam family "tRNA". From Rfam's summary of the family: Transfer RNA (tRNA) molecules are approximately 80 nucleotides in length. Their secondary structure includes four short double-helical elements and three loops (D, anti-codon, and T loops). The record is from RNAcentral. Lineage: Bacteria; Pseudomonadati; Myxococcota; Myxococcia.